GCGCGAGAAGCCGCAAGGCAAGUACAGCGGCGUAAGGGUGAGUAAUGGUUAGUCAACGUACCGAGCAGACGCGAAUAAUUUUCCGAAAGGGAUUGUAAUGCGCGAUGAGACCACGGGCUGUACGCAGCUAGGGGUCAAAGGUCGGGGAUCCUUCGGGACCCGGCGCUGUUUGAGCGGACUAUCUCUGAUUAGCUAGUUGGCGGGGUAACGGCCCACCAAGGCGAUGAUCAGUAGCCGGGCUGAGAGGCUGUCCGG
Molecule: ribosomal RNA, 255 nt
Filed under: uncultured Planctomycetota bacterium
Lineage: Bacteria; Pseudomonadati; Planctomycetota
Description: uncultured planctomycete partial 16S ribosomal RNA
Rfam family: Bacterial small subunit ribosomal RNA
Source: RNAcentral